GUAAAUAAUUUGAGGGCUUGCCCCGCGUAGCUCCGAGCCUAGCGAGGAGCGAAGUGGGGGAGGAAAGUCCGAACACCACAACGGUUCCGUAUGGAACGGGUAAUGGGUAACGCCCACCCGAUCUUUCGCAAGAGAGAUUGAGGACCAGUGCCGCAGAGACAAUACUACCUCAGGUUUACUUGGGGGAAAGGUGAAAAGUGUGGCGGUGUUUUGAAAUGAGUAAGGGAUAUCCCCUCAAUUCAAGGCUACACCACUCGCCUAUCGGUGACGAUAGGUUGCGGUAAACUCUACUCGGUGCAAUGCGUAUAAGCAGCUUGAACCGGCCGGUAACGGUCGGUCUAGAUAGAUAGUCAUCCUCGAAUUUAUUCGAGACAGAAUUCGGCUUAUCGGCUGGACUAGA
RNAcentral lists this RNase P RNA (400 nucleotides) under bacterium. RNAcentral describes it as "RNase P RNA component class A". It matches the Rfam family "Bacterial RNase P class A". Rfam says of the family: Ribonuclease P (RNase P) is a ubiquitous endoribonuclease, found in archaea, bacteria and eukarya as well as chloroplasts and mitochondria. Its best characterised activity is the generation of mature 5'-ends of tRNAs by cleaving the 5'-leader elements of precursor-tRNAs. Cellular RNase Ps are ribonucleoproteins. The record is from RNAcentral.